This 492-nucleotide ribosomal RNA is filed under the name uncultured bacterium. RNAcentral describes it as "partial 16S ribosomal RNA". It matches the Rfam family "Bacterial small subunit ribosomal RNA", at positions 29 to 507 of the family's 1533-position model. The record is from RNAcentral.
AGUGAACGCUGGCGGUAGGCCUAACACAUGCAAGUCGAACGGCAGCACAGUAAGAGUUUGCUCUUACGGGUGGCGAGUGGCGGACGGGUGAGGAAUACAUCGGAAUCUACUUUUUCGUGGGGGAUUACGUAGGGAAACUUACGCUAAUACCGCAUACGACCUACGGGUUAAAGCAGUGGAUCUUCGGACCUUGCGCGACUGAAUGAGACGAUGUCGGAUUAGCUAGUUGGCGUGGUAAAGUCCCACCAAGGCGACGAUCCGUAGCUGGUCUGAGAGGAUGAUCAGCCACACUGGAACUGAGACACGGUCCAGACUCCUACGGGAGGCAGCAGUGGGGAAUAUUGGACAAUGGGCGCAAGCCUGAUCCAGCCAUACCGCGUGGGUGAAGAAGGCCUUCGGGUUGUAAAGCCCUUUUGUUGGGAAAGAAAAGCAGCAGGUUAAUACCCCGCUGUUCUGACGGUACCCAAAGAAUAAGCACCGGCUAACUUCGUG